Molecule: long non-coding RNA, 955 nt
Organism: Eriocheir sinensis (Chinese mitten crab)
Lineage: Eukaryota; Metazoa; Arthropoda; Malacostraca; Decapoda; Varunidae
Exons: 3
Source: RefSeq, a predicted model, not a curated record
GUUCGUGAAGGAGAAAUAGCACCAUUGCGUCACGCCAUGUCAGCCCAAGCUCAGUGUUACCUCGAUCUCCCCGUUACUCCUUCCUCGUCGUGUCACCUACCCAACAGUGCCCAGCGGCGACACGUGUGACUCAUCCAGUGCCAGGGGGGUGAGGCCGUGCCGUUCCGGAGCCUGAAGGAGCGGCAGAGGGAGGAAUUGUCUUGUGGUGAGCGACGAAACCCCCAACGGCCGGUGAUGAGCUCGUCGUGCAGUACUGAAGCAGGAUUGACGUGAACGGCGGCCCAGUGUAAUUUCAUCAGGCGGAAGGCAACAAGUCCCGAGGCAGACGAGCGGGCGAACAGACGGACAUACGGAGAGACAGGUCCGCUGCCAACUCAAAAUAAAAGACAAACAUCGCCUCUUCGAAUCACCGUCUUAAAGUAAUUCUAGUCCGUCUCCCCGUCUACAUCCUCUUCCUUCUGCUCCUGCUCCUGCUUCUGCUCCUCUAUCACAGAGCCACCAAAGUCGUCCAGGGAUGUUUGUCUCAUAGAUUCAUAGGUGGAGGUGAGUGUGUUUGAGUGUUUAUUUUCCGGACUAUGUAUGUUGUUUUAUGUAUCAUGGCGCUUGUGGUGGGUGGUAUGAUAAAAGUAAGAGUGGUGGUGGUGGUGGUUAUGUAGGUGGAAGUGGUUUACUGAUGGUAUAAUCUGUUUAAACGAAGGGUUCCUGUAGCGUCUAGGCAGCGUUUGUUAGAUCUUUCUUGGGCGGCUUAAUUCUCUCUUCACUCUCAAAAUCAUACUCUCUUGCUACAUGUUCCUGUAUUGAUUUAUCAUGUCAUUGUUAGCACCAUUAAGCCCAAGAGUGAUCGUAAAACUCGCUUAAGUUCGUCAUAUUUUUAGCUACUUAACGGAUUCUGGGUUAUAAAUUAUAUGAUAACCUCACAUUAUAAUCUUGGUAAAUCUCCCGCCAUAUUUAGCAC